Molecule: long non-coding RNA, 543 nt
Organism: Octodon degus (degu)
Lineage: Eukaryota; Metazoa; Chordata; Mammalia; Rodentia; Octodontidae
Exons: 2
Source: RefSeq, a predicted model, not a curated record
UCAAGGAGGAGGUGGUGGCCAAGGGCCGUGGGCGUGGUGGGCUGCAGCAGCAGAAGCAGCAGCGGGGCCGCGGCCUGGGCAGCGCGGGGCGAGGAGUGUUUGGCGGCCGGGGUCGUGGUGGCCUACCGGGCACAGGCCGGGGACAGCCUGAGAAGAAGCCAGGAAGACAGGCGGGCAAGCAGUGAGGGUUCCUGCCUCAGCCAGGCCCUGGGGCCUCCACACUGCAGCAGAGGGAAGAGGAGAAGCAGAGGGGCCCCAGCAGACGCUAUCUCGGGCUGGCCUCCCCUUAGGCAGCCGUUGUACCCUGGUGUGUCAUUGGGACUCCUGUUUUGUGACUUUGCUGUCCCUGGAGUGGGCUGGCAUUUUGGAAGACAGCUGGGUUUAAAGCAUCUCUCCAGCCCUUGGGCCUGUGGUCGUGGCCCCACCCUGCUAUGCUGCAGCAGCAGCUGAGAGGCUGUCUUCCUGCACCCCUCACUGACGCCUGGAGCCUGCUCCCUCCUGCUCCCCGUCUUGCGAAUAAAGCCCCUGCAGUUCCAGACUCAA